UUAUAAUUCACUGCUGUCAAAUGAAUAUUACCCGGUAUUUGUUAUUUGGUUUUUGGGAUUUUGUUUUCUGAAAACUAAGAUAUUUCUGUUAUCUUUCCAAGAGGAGCUAUACAUUCAACAAUGCAAAAAAAAUAAAGUCUCCCUCAACAUAUGAUGUUUAUGAUUUUAAGUUGAUAAAAUCAUUGCAUAACGUUGCAUUUAUGACAAGGGAAGUCUCAUAACAAAUGCUGCCAUGUAUAUAAGCAUCCUUACUAGUAGUACAUAUGUAUGACAACAUUUGGCUUUUAGGACAAAGAUCUUGAGUAUCACAUACAUCUUAUAAUACUGAAGCAGAUUAUGUUAUUGAUCUCUGUUCAUACUGGCAAGGAUAUUACAAUAGUGUUGUUUUAUGAUAUAAUAUAUGUGUUUAUUCACAUUCUAAACUUGUCAUCAGUGAUCUCAAUAUUAGAAAUCAUACAUGUAUUCAAUGUCUUCAGGAUUUUCAGGUUUGUAUCCAAAAGGGCAGACAAUAUUCCUUUGACAGCCUACUGUCAUUGUACUAGUGUUUUCUUCAUGUGGUGGACGGUCUCAAGCUAAGUGAGGCAGAAGGAGACCUAGAUUCCAUCUCAUCACCAAAAUGUUUGUUCCCUAUGAUGGACUGUCUCAAGCUAAGUGAGGCAGAAGGAGACCUAGAUUCCAUCUCAUCACCAAAAUGUUUGUUCCCUAUGAUGGACUGUCUCAAGCUAAGAGAGGCAGAAGGAGACCUAGAUUCCAUCUCAUCACCAAAAUGUUUGUUCCCUAUGAUGGACUGUCUCAAGCUAAGAGAGGCAGAAGGAGACCUGGAUUCCAUCUCAUCACCAAAAUGUUUGUACACUAUGAUGGAAUGUCUCAAGCUAAGAGAGGCAGGAGACCUAGAUUCCUUCUCAUCACCAAAAUGUUUGUACACUAUGAUGGAAUGUCUCAAGCUAAGAGAGGCAGGAGACCUAGAUUCCUUCUCAUCACCAAAAUGUUUGUUCCCUGUGAUGGACUGUCUCAAGUUCACAGGAAGAACCACAGAUUCCAAUGUGUUUGUAGCCUUAGAUACUUUCAUAACAUUCCAUUCUCUCAUUAAAGUUAAGUAGACAGACAUAUUACAAAAUAACUACCUGGUAUGGUUAUAAAAGGGCUUCUUUUUUAAGAAAGAUUGUUAAAAGGGAAAAUAAAAUUAGUGAUAUGAAAUGACUUAAUUCUGGUCUAAUAUGAGUGUAUAGAUAUCUGCAAUUUUAUUCUGUGAUAGAAACUUGUACGUGAAAACCUAGUAUGCUUGCCAUUAAUGAAAGAGAAAGUAUUGUAUCUGAUAUCAAUAUCGGUGUGAUAUUGUGUGUACAUCAGUCACUGUUUUACCUAGUGAUCUUGGUUGAAUAAUGUAUACUGCAUAGUUAUUAAAUUACAUGGGCUAAUAUUUUGCAGUUGGCCCAUUUAGCUCUAGUUCAUGGGAAAUACAUUUUUACUAUCAUGCCUUGUUAACAUUCUGUGGUAAAAACUUCUAUACAUUUGUUUGUAUAAUUUUUAUAUACUUAUUCCCUCAGUAUUAUUUUUUGCAUGUACCUGUAAUGACUGUGAAUAUAUCGAAAUUAAAUUCCUCACAAAUAAUACCAACUAUGAACUAUGCAGAAGUGUAGAACUGUCAUAGGUUAAUGAUACUUUAUAUGUAAUACAUUAACUUACUCAUGAUGACCUGAUGCUCCGUAACAACCCCACCUUUGUAAAACACAGAAUCACAGAUAGAGAAAGAAAAGGGAGAAAAGAAAGAAAAAGGGGGAAGAAUUGGUAAAAUGAGUAUUAUCUAAUAUAUACAUUAGGCUGAUAAUAAGGUUUUUGAAAUCAGGCUUUUUAAUUCAAUUUUAAGUAUUUUUCUGUUAUCUGAUUUUUUCUUCUUUCCUUUUUGAACUGUUUUCUUAAGUUCCUGAUUAAAUCAUACAAUGCACAAUACAAAGACUCAGCAAAGUUGUUAUUAACAGUAAAAACUAAUUUCAAAAUCAUUUUCAUUAGUACUAGUGAUGAUAUAACCUUAUCCUUUACCAUGUUAAUAUUGAUGAUAUUUCACAGGUAAGAAUGUAAUAGUAUUACUAUUUCUAUUUCACAGGUAAGAAUGUAAUAACAUUACUAUUUCUAUUUCACAGGUAAGAAUGUAAUAACAUUACUAUUUCUAUAUAUAGGCAUAGUCAGUAUUGGUACAACAGGUCUCCUUGUCUUUUGUUACAUGACUAUCAGUGAAGUAAGCCCCAUUAACAAAUAACCAAUCAAUACAAUGCCUAUUGUUUAUAUGGUAUUAAAUACUAGCCAGUAAGUAUUGUUAUUAUUGCUGCAACAAAAUCUGUGUAUAUGAUAGUAUCCUGUUUGUAUUGUGAACACCAUUUAUUUGAAAGCUUAAUUCAUGCUACAUUGGACCACAUUUAAACAAAUAUUCCAAAUAGUAGUUCAACCAGAUUUAUUUAAAACACAUUUUUGAAGUAACUCGAACAAUGAAGGAAGGGAUUGUGGACUAUGGCAGACAUUCAGUUGGUUGGUUUUUUUUAUUUCUUGCUUACCCCAGUAUAUUAUAAAACCAAAUAUUGUAAAAAUCCAUUUCACUAUCUUGGUCUCAAAAAAAAAUUUGUUUCAAGUUACAAUAAACACAAAUAAAAAACAGGCUCAUUACAGCUUUUUGUUGCUUCAUGUUGGUAAAGCUCACUGUAAUACCUACAUGUUGGUGAAGUUCACUGUAAUACCUACAUGUUGGUGAAGUUCACUGUUUACCAACAUGUUGGUGAAGUUCACUGUAAUACCUACAUGUUGGUGAAGUUCACUGUAAUACUUCAUUGUGUAAUACCUACAUGUUGGUGAAGUUCACUGUAAUACCUACAUGUUGGUGAAGUUCAUUGUGUAAUACCUACAUGUUGGUGAAGUUCAUUGUGUAAUACCUACAUGUUGGUGAAGAUCAUUGUGUAAUACCUACAUGUUGGUGAAGUUCACUGUGUAAUACCUACAUGUUGGUGAAGUUCACUGUAAUACCAACAUGUUGGUGAAGUUCAUUGUGUAAUACCUACAUGUUGGUGAAGUUCAUUGUGUAAUAUCUACAUGUUGGUGAAGUUCAUUGUGUAAUACCUACAUGUUGGUGAAGUUCAUUGUGUAAUACCUACAUGUUGGUGAAGUUCACUGUAAUACCAACAUGUUGGUGAAGUUCACUGUAAUACCAACAUUUUGUUGAAGUUCACUGUAAUACCUACAUGUUGGUGAAGUUCAUUGUGUGAUACCUACAUGUUGGUGAAGUUCACUGUAAUACCAACAUGUUGAAGUUCACUGUAAUACCUACAUGUUGGUGAAGUUCAUUGUGUAAUACCUACAUGUUGGUGAAGUUCAUUGUGUAAUACCUACAUGUUGGUGAAGUUCACUGUAAUACCAACAUGUUGGUUAAGUUCACUGUAAUACCAACAUGUUGUUGAAGUUCACUGUAAUACCUACAUGUUUGUUAAGUUCACUGUAAUACCUACAUGUUGGUUAAGUUCACUGUAAUACCUACAUGUUGGUGAAGUUCACUGUAAUACCUACAUGUUGGUGAAGAUCAUUGUGUAAUACCUACAUGUUGGUGAAGUUCACUAUAAUACCAACAUGUUGGUGAAGAUCAUUGUGUAAUACCUACAUAUUGGCGAAGUUCACUGUAAUACCUACAUGUUGGUGAAGUUCAUUGUGUAAUACCUUCAUGUUGGUGAAGUUCACUGUAAUACCAACAUGUUGGUGAAGUUCACUGUAAUACUUCAUUGUAUAAUACCUAUGUGUUGGUGAAGAUCACUGUGUAAUACCUACAUUAUGGUGAAGUUCACUGUAAUACCUACAUGUUGGUGAAGUUCACUGUAAUACCAACAUGUUGGUGAAGUUCACUGUAAUACUUCAUUGUAUAAUACCUAUGUGUUGGUGAAGAUCACUGUGUAAUACCUACAUGUUGGUGAAGUUCACUGUAAUACCUACAUGUUGGUGAAGUUCAUUGUGUAAUACCUACAUGUUGGUGAAGUUCACUGUAAUACCUACAUAUUGGUGAAGUUCAUUGUGUAAUACCUACAUGUUGGUGAAGUUCAUUGUAAUACCUACAUGUUGGUGAAGUUCAUUGUAAUACCUACAUGUUGGUGAAGUUCACUGUAAUACCUACAUGUUGGUGAAGUUCACUGUAAUACCUACAUAUUGGUGAAGUUCACUGUAAUAUCUACAUGUUGGUGAAGUUCAUUGUGUAAUACCUACAUGUUGGUGAAGUUCACUGUAAUACCAACAUGUUGGUGAAGAUUAUUGUGUGAUACCUACAUAUUGGUGAAGUUCACUGUAAUACCUACAUGUUGGUGAAGAUCAUUGUGUAAUACCUACAUGUUGGUGAAGUUCACUAUAAUACCAACAUGUUGGUGAAGAUCAUUGUGUAAUACCUACAUGUUGGUGAAGUUCACUGUAAUACCAACAUGUUGGUGAAGAUUAUUGUGUGAUACCUACAUAUUGGUGAAGUUCACUGUAAUACCUACAUGUUGGUGAAGAUCAUUGUGUGAUACCCACAUGUUGGCGAAGUUCAUUGUAUAGUGUCUGUAUAUUAGUAAAAAUUCCCCAUGUAAUACCAUACCUCUGAUAUCAUAUUGAUAAGUAUGUAUUAAGAUUUCACUGUGUGUAGUCAGAGCAGAAUAACCUGUCAUCUUGGACUGCAAUUUAAGGUUAAUCAGUCAUUUUUGUUGAGAAUGGUAACCAAGUAAACAAUGUGCACAGAGGCUUGUAUACUCCUACAAAUGAGCAUGUGUGCAUACUUAAACCACACAUUUAGUUAAUUAUUAUGUCCUGGUUCAAAUGAGUUUACUUCAUGUUUUAUGAUUAAUGUAAGUUUUCUAAAGUGUUUUGCAUAUUUGCAAUAUGCACAGCAAUGUAUGAUGUUCAGAUUGCAAUUAAAGUCAAUAUAAAACAC
This is a long non-coding RNA of Pecten maximus, 4930 nucleotides long. RefSeq lists it as uncharacterized. The record is from RefSeq and is a predicted model, not a curated record. Lineage: Eukaryota; Metazoa; Mollusca; Bivalvia; Pectinida; Pectinidae. The transcript is spliced from 2 exons.